This 357-nucleotide unclassified non-coding RNA is filed under the name soil metagenome. Its description in RNAcentral is "partial contains 5.8S ribosomal RNA, internal transcribed spacer 2, and large subunit ribosomal RNA". The stretch from base 1 to 120 matches the Rfam family "5.8S ribosomal RNA", at positions 35 to 154 of the family's 154-position model. The record is from RNAcentral.
GAUGAAGAACGUAGCGAAAUGCGAUAAGUAAUGUGAAUUGCAGAAUUCAGUGAAUCACCGAAUCUUUGAACGCACAUUGCGCCCGCUGGUAUUCCGGCGGGCAUGCCUGUUCGAGCGUCAUUUCAACCCUCAAGCUCUCCGGAGUUUGGUGUUGGGGCGCCUGGGGCUUUUCGACCUCAGGGCCCUCAAGUCCAUCGGCGGGACCGCCAGGACACUGAGCGCAGUAGUAUUAUUUCGCUCGGUAGGAUCUUCCACGGCGGGUCGAUCUGGCCGCUAAACCCCCCAAUUCUCACCAAAGGUUGACCUCGGAUCAGGUAGGAAUACCCGCUGAACUUAAGCAUAUCAAUAAGCGGAGGA